This 378-nucleotide unclassified non-coding RNA is filed under the name plant metagenome. Its description in RNAcentral is "partial contains 5.8S ribosomal RNA, internal transcribed spacer 2, and large subunit ribosomal RNA". The stretch from base 1 to 105 matches the Rfam family "5.8S ribosomal RNA", at positions 50 to 154 of the family's 154-position model. The record is from RNAcentral.
GAAAUGCGAUAAGUAAUGUGAAUUGCAGAAUUCAGUGAAUCAUCGUAUCUUUGAACGCACCUUGCGCUCCUUGGUAUUCCUUGGAGCAUGCCUGUUUGAGUAUCAUGAAAUCUUCAAAGUAAAUCUUUUGUUAACUCAAUUGGUUUCUACUUUGGUAUUGGAGGUCUUUGCAGCUUCACACCUGCUCCUCUUUGUUCAUUAGCUGGAUCUCAGUGUUAUGCUUGGUUCCACUCGGCGUGAUAAGUUAUCUAUCGCUGAGGACACUGUAAAAGGUGGCAAAGGUAAAUGCAGAUGAACCGCUUCUAAUAGUCCAUUGACUUGGACAAUACUUUUAUGAUCUGAUCUCAAAUCAGGUAGGACUACCCGCUGAACUUAAGC